RNAcentral lists this ribosomal RNA (232 nucleotides) under uncultured bacterium. Its description in RNAcentral is "partial 16S ribosomal RNA". It matches the Rfam family "Bacterial small subunit ribosomal RNA", at positions 103 to 334 of the family's 1533-position model. The record is from RNAcentral.
CCGGGUGAGUAACACGUAUCCAACCUGCCGUCUACUCUUGGACAGCCUUCUGAAAGGAAGAUUAAUACAAGAUGGCAUCAUGAGUCCGCAUGUUCACAUGAUUAAAGGUAUUCCGGUAGACGAUGGGGAUGCGUUCCAUUAGAUAGUAGGCGAGGUAACGGCCCACCUAGUCUUCGAUGGAUAGGGGUUCUGAGAGGAAGGUCCCCCACAUUGGAACUGAGACACGGUCCAA